UACACUCCUGCGGGAGGCAGCAGUGGGGAAUUUUGGACAAUGGGCGAAAGCCUGAUCCAGCAAUGCCGCGUGGGUGAAGAAGGCCUUCGGGUUGUAAAGCUCUUUUGUCAGGGAAGAAACGGUGAAAGCUAAUAUCUUUUGCUAAUGACGGUACCUGAAGAAUAAGCACCGGCUAACUACGUGCCAGCAGCCGCGGUAAUACGUAGGGUGCAAGCGUUAAUCGGAAUUACUGGGCGUAAAGCGUGCGCAGGCGGUUUUGUAAGUCUGAUGUGAAAUCCCCGGGCUCAACCUGGGAAUUGCAUUGGAGACUGCAAGGCUAGAAUCUGGCAGAGGGGGGUAGAAUUCCACGUGUAGCAGUGAAAUGCGUAGAUAUGUGGAGGAACACCGAUGGCGAAGGCAGCCCCCUGGGUCAAGAUUGACGCUCAUGCACGAAAGCGUGGGGAGCAAACAGGAUUAGAUACCCCUGUAGUCCCAUG
Molecule: ribosomal RNA, 476 nt
Filed under: uncultured organism
Description: partial 16S ribosomal RNA
Rfam family: Bacterial small subunit ribosomal RNA
Source: RNAcentral